Molecule: ribosomal RNA, 3384 nt
Filed under: Triticum aestivum (bread wheat)
Lineage: Eukaryota; Viridiplantae; Streptophyta; Magnoliopsida; Poales; Poaceae
Description: partial small subunit ribosomal RNA
Source: RNAcentral
AUGGCGACGGCGGUGUCGGCGCCCGUCUUCACGGCGACGGUGCGGGUCUCCAAUAUCCCGCCCUCCGCCGUCGCUAAAGAGCUCCUAGCAUUCUUCGAUUCCGCCGUCGCCGCUGCCGGCGAAGCCUACGCCUGCGAGAUCGCCGCCGCCCGACGCGGCUGGUUAAGUCGAUGCGAUGGGAGCGUUCAGUUCGAUUCCACCGCCACCGCAACCCUCGCCGCCGAACUCGCCUCCUCCGGUCGCCUACCGCGCUUCCUCGGCUCCCUCCUCUCCGUCUCCCCUGCCCCCGCGGACCUUCUCCCCCGCGCGCCCGACCUUUCUCUCCGCGUGGCCGACGCCCGCCUCCUUGUCGGCAACCGCGUCGCCGAGCGCGAAUUCGAGGCGGCUGACUCUUGGGACAGCGUCCGCGUGGAGGUCAUCCCGGGGAAGCGGCGGAUAGACCUGUACCUGAAUCACGAUUCCCAGAGGUACAAGCUUGAGGUCUUCUUCGAGGACAUCAGGAACUGCUACCAGUGCAGCUUCGAUGGGGCCGGUGCCAUCUUGCUUCAGCUCAUGUAUUCACCAAGGAUAUGCACAACAAUUUCUGGGCCUGCAGUUUAUUCAAGGUUCUCGGAUGACCGCUUUCAUGCAUGCAAGGAGGAUGCGAAGUUUACCUGGGUCAGAGCACUGGAUUUUACACCCAACCACUCUUUUGGGAAGUGUUCAACUCUUGCCCUCAUACUUGAUGAAGGUGCAUCGGUGUCAUUUAUUCUCAACAGCUUGCCUUUGUCAGGAGAAUUAGGGGAAUUGGUCAUUUCUUCAACGGAAUUUUUUGGCCCGUUGUCCAAAGUCGUUCCCCUUGUUGAUUGCCCAAGUGGUUGUUCAGUGCCGUAUGAAGUUCUUUUUCGUCUCAAUUCUCUUGUUCACAUGGGGAAGAUAGUUGCCAAAGAUGUUAAUGCUGAUCUGUUUAAAGCUCUUGAAGAAAUACCAGUUCAUAUUUCAAGGAGGGUUUUUGAGAAAAUGAGCAAGCUAGAGUUUACAUGCUAUGAACCUUUGCGAUUCAUCCAGCAGGAGGCUCAUAGCAGGAAGAGGGGCCACGAUGCUUUGCUUUCCAGUAAGACUGAAGGUGAAGGAAAGUUAAUGAUGUGUUACAGAAUUCACAUUACUCCAGCCAAAAUAUACUGCGUGGGACCUGAGGAAGAAGUUUCAAAUUAUGUGGUUAAGCGUCACAAACAGUAUGCUUCUGACUUUGCUAGAGUUACUUUUGUCGACGAAGACUGGAGUAAGCUUUUUCCAGAUGCUAUCUCAGCUAGAACUGGACGAGGGUUCUUUUCUCAACCCUUGAAAACUGGCCUAUAUUAUCGUAUUUUAUCCAUCCUGAAAGAAGGAUUUUCCAUUGGUCCAAAGAAGUAUGAAUUCCUGGCCUUCUCAGCAAGUCAACUUCGUGGAAGUUCUGUUUGGAUGUUUGCUUCUAAUGAUUCCCUGAAGGCCGAGGAUAUAAGAAGGUGGAUGGGCAACUUUGAAGAUAUCCGUUCAGUAUCUAAAUGUGCGGCUAGAAUGGGCCAGCUGUUCAGCUCCUCCAGACAAACACUUGAAAUCCUACCAUGGGAUGUAGAAGAGAUUCCAGAUAUUGAAGUCACAACUGAUGGCAGUAAAUACAUAUUUUCUGAUGGUAUCGGGAAGAUCUCUGAUAGACUUGCUAAAGAAAUGGCUUGCCGAAUUGGAUUAGACUAUACUAACCCUCCUUCAGCUUUUCAAAUAAGGUAUGGUGGCUACAAAGGAGUUGUUGCUGUGGACCCUGAUUCCUUUCGUAAUCUUUCUCUGCGACCUAGUAUGAAGAAAUUCGAAUCAAAGAGCAGAAUGUUUAACAUUACAAGUACCAGCAAAUCCCAACCAUGCUAUAUGAAUCAUGAAGUUAUCUCUCUCCUUUCAACUUUGGGGAUAAGAGAUGAGAUAUUUGAGUCGAUGCAACAAAAUGAUAUGCGUGAAUUAGAUGAAAUGCUGACCAACAGAGAAGCUGCUCUCUCUGUUCUGGGGAAAAUUGGCAGUGCAGAAACGAAGACAGCAUCGAAAAUUUUACUGCAAGGUUAUGAACCAAGUUUAGAGCCUUACCUGUUGAUGAUUCUUAAGGCCCAUCAGGAUAAUAGGCUGACUGACAUAAGAACUAGAUGUAAGAUUCAUGUUCCGAAAGGCCGUGUUCUUCUUGGUUGUUUGGAUGAAACCGGUGAAUUAGAAUAUGGUCAAGUGUACAUCAGAAUUACAAAGAAUAGCAAAGAGCAGAAGGAUAAUUGUCAGCCGUAUUUUGCUUUAGAUAAUGGAAAAGAGAAAACAGCAGUUGUUGUUGGAAAAGUUGCAGUAUCGAAAAAUCCUUGUCUCCAUCCUGGUGACAUCAGAGUACUUGAAGCUGUCUAUGACCAUGGUUUGUACGCAAAGAACCUGGUUGAUUGUGUUGUCUUCCCCCAAAGAGGAGAAAGGCCUCAUCCAAAUGAAUGCUCCGGGGGCGAUUUGGACGGUGACCUCUAUUUUAUCACUUGGGAUGAGAAACUGAUUCCAGAGGAGGUUGAUUCACCUAUGGACUACACUGCAGCAAGGCCACGCAUAAUGGAUCAUGUUGUUACACUUGAGGAAAUUCAGAAGUACUUUGUGGAUUACAUGAUAAAUGACUCGCUCGGUGCAAUCUCAACUGCUCACUUGGUCCAUGCGGAUCGUCAUCCAAUGAAAGCCCGGAGCCCUGAGUGCCUCCAGCUAGCUGCUUUGCAUUCGAUGGCGGUCGACUUCGCCAAGUCAGGAGCUCCAGCUGAAAUGCCCCGGUCACUGAGACCAAAGGAGUACCCCGACUUCAUGGAACGGUGGGAUAAACCAACGUACAUCUCCAACGGAGCUCUCGGCAAGCUCUACCGAGCGGCUGCGAGCCGUAUGCAGAGCGCUCCUGCCCCCUCGUCUUCGGCUCAAUCGAGCCCCGCGUUUGAUCCUGACCUAGAGGUCCCUGGCUUCGAGGAAUUCCUGGCAUUUGCGGAGGAGUGCUACGACCUGUACGCGGAGAAGCUGAGCACCCUGAUGAGCUACUAUGGCGCGGAGCAUGAGGACGAGAUCCUGACCGGCAACAUCCGAAACAGGCUCCUGUACCUGAAGAAAGACAACAAGAGGUACUUUGAGAUGAAGGACCGCAUCAUCUACUCGGUGGAUGGCCUGCACAAGGAGGUGCAGGGUUGGUUCAGGAGCCGCCCGAAGGCGGAGGCGUCAAGGAGGGCGUCGGCGUGGUACCGUGUGACUUAUCACCCGGACCACCGCCGGCCGGGAAAGAAGCAGUUCUGGAGCUUCCCGUGGAUCGUCUGCGACGAGCUGCUGAAGAUCAAGGAGUCCAGUAAGCGGCGCAGGCAGCAGGUGGACGGCGCAGCGGCCUGA